Molecule: ribosomal RNA, 294 nt
Filed under: Triticum aestivum (bread wheat)
Lineage: Eukaryota; Viridiplantae; Streptophyta; Magnoliopsida; Poales; Poaceae
Description: partial small subunit ribosomal RNA
Source: RNAcentral
AUGGUUUAUUUUAUUAAUUUUAUCAUUAUCAGGAAAGUAUGGAUCCAAAGUUCAAAGCCAUAUCCGAUUAGCUUGUCUCUCAGAAAACUACAAGAAAUGCUGAAGGAUGAUUUACCCAUGGACAAAGAUUGCUUUAAUUUGGUUGUACGGAAGAUUAUGUUUGAUGACAUCCAAACGGCACAAAAAACAAAACAUUCGAUAGCAAAACAUUAUCUCGACAUGAAAUUUUGGGUAUGUUUUUAUAUUUAUUAUAUACUUUCUUUUCUAUAUUCUAAUUUUAAAAUACUUUUCUAA